GUGGGUGUAGCUCAAAUGGAUAGAGUGACAGAUUCCGAUUCUGUAGGCUGAAGGUUCAAUUCCUUUCACCCACA
RNAcentral lists this transfer RNA (74 nucleotides) under Elusimicrobia bacterium RIFOXYB2_FULL_49_7. Its description in RNAcentral is "tRNA-Arg". It matches the Rfam family "tRNA". From Rfam's summary of the family: Transfer RNA (tRNA) molecules are approximately 80 nucleotides in length. Their secondary structure includes four short double-helical elements and three loops (D, anti-codon, and T loops). The record is from RNAcentral. Lineage: Bacteria; Pseudomonadati; Elusimicrobiota.